RNAcentral lists this small RNA (841 nucleotides) under Pongo abelii (Sumatran orangutan). RNAcentral's name for it is "processed transcript". The record is from RNAcentral. Lineage: Eukaryota; Metazoa; Chordata; Mammalia; Primates; Hominidae.
AACGUCAGGAGAGGAGGAAACAGCUUUUGAGCAAGCAGAAAUAUGCAGAUGGUGCUUUUGCAGAUUUCAAACAAGAGAGGCCUUUUGGUCACUUAGAAGAGGUGCCAAAGAUCAAGGAGAGGAAAGUGGUGGGCUACAAAUGUAAAUUCUGUGUGGAAGUGCACCCAACGCUCCGAGCCAUCUGCAAUCACCUCCGAAAGCACGUCCAGUAUGGCAAUGUCCCAGCUGUGUCAGCUGCUGUGAAGGUUGGACCUUCCUCAUCUUUCUGUUCAGGGAAAGGUCGAGUUUCGAUCUGGUUUCCUUCCACGCGGAUAGUUUGGUGGCAACAGAAGGUCCAGGAUUCUCGGUCUAGGAGGCUUCGGGUCGUCCUUCUAUUCUGCGUUUAGUGCCAUUAGCUCUUCGUUCUUCCAAGUUGCCCGAGCUCUUGAGAGGAAUCAAGAGGCGGAUGACCCUGCCCACUUGUUCCUGGAUGGAUUGGAAGCAGCCAAAGACGCCAGUGGCGCCCUGGUGGGCCGGGUGGAUGGUGAACACUGCUUGCUUGAUGGAAUGUUGGAGGAUGAAACCCGGCCGGGGGGAUACCAUUGCAGUCAAUGUGACAGAGUCCUGAUGUCCAUGCAGGGGCUGCGUUCUCAUGAGAGGAGCCACCUGGCCCUGGCCAUGUUUACCCGCGAGGACAAGUACAGCUGCCAGUAUUGCUCCUUUGUUUCUGCUUUCAGGCACAAUUUGGAUCGCCAUAUGCAAACCCACCACGGACACCAUAAACCAUUCCGAUGCAAACUCUGCUCCUUCAAGUCCUCCUAUAACAGCCGGCUGAAAACACAUAUACUCAAAGCUCAUGCUG